This 810-nucleotide ribosomal RNA is filed under the name uncultured bacterium. RNAcentral's name for it is "bacterial SSU rRNA". It matches the Rfam family "Bacterial small subunit ribosomal RNA", at positions 51 to 851 of the family's 1533-position model. The record is from RNAcentral.
ACACAUGCAAGUCGAGGGGAAACGACAUCGAAAGCUUGCUUUUGAUGGGCGUCGACCGGCGCACGGGUGAGUAACGCGUAUCCAACCUGCCCACCACUUGGGGAUAACCUUGCGAAAGUAAGACUAAUACCCAAUGAUAUCUCUAGAAGACAUCUGAAAGAGAUUAAAGAUUUAUCGGUGAUGGAUGGGGAUGCGUCUGAUUAGCUUGUUGGCGGGGUAACGGCCCACCAAGGCAACGAUCAGUAGGGGUUCUGAGAGGAAGGUCCCCCACAUUGGAACUGAGACACGGUCCAAACUCCUACGGGAGGCAGCAGUGAGGAAUAUUGGUCAAUGGACGAGAGUCUGAACCAGCCAAGUAGCGUGCAGGAUGACGGCCCUAUGGGUUGUAAACUGCUUUUAUAAGGGAAUAAAGUGAGUCUCGUGAGACUUUUUGCAUGUACCUUAUGAAUAAGGACCGGCUAAUUCCGUGCCAGCAGCCGCGGUAAUACGGAAGGUCCGGGCGUUAUCCGGAUUUAUUGGGUUUAAAGGGAGCGUAGGCCGGAGAUUAAGCGUGUUGUGAAAUGUAGAUGCUCAACAUCUGCACUGCAGCGCGAACUGGUUUCCUUGAGUACGCACAAAGUGGGCGGAAUUCGUGGUGUAGCGGUGAAAUGCUUAGAUAUCACGAAGAACUCCGAUUGCGAAGGCAGCUCACUGGAGCGCAACUGACGCUGAAGCUCGAAAGUGCGGGUAUCGAACAGGAUUAGAUACCCUGGUAGUCCGCACGGUAAACGAUGGAUGCCCGCUGUUGGUCUGAAUAGGUCAGCGGCCAAG